GUAUAGCUUUAGAAUUACAUAGAAUAUUGAGCAUACGGGAGAGAUUUUUCAUCUCUCCAUAUGCUCGAAGGAGGGAAAUCAUAAGGAUAAUAUUAGAAAAUAAGUAUUGUUUUAUUAGUUUUAGGGAUAAGAAGUAAAGUGGCUGCUUGAGAAAGAAGUGGAGUUUGAAGCAGAACUGAGAGAGCGUGUUAAUUUCAGAUGUGACAGUUAUAACCGUUUUUCUGUGUCUAGCAGUUGGGAGUUGGGCUCUGGCAGUUGGCAGAGAGACUCUCUCUCAGGACUGGAGGAGAAGCCACUGAAGCCAGUUCUGCUCUCCAAACAGAAGUGAAAGAUGUCCUCGGGAGCCCUGAGGAGCUUUCAGCAUCUCUUUAGGGCUGUAAGUCAAACCACAUGAAGCAAUUAGAGGAGAAGAUUAAUUGAUGUGACCUGAAAUGCUAACUAAAUGGUCAAACGAAGGAGAAAUCAAAACCAGUUUGAAGUUCUCCCUACUACCAUCACCACUGAGAAGUCAAGAAAGACACAAACCAUCACAAAUAUGUAUAAUCAUCAAACCAAAUUCCCUCAUUAGCCAUAUCCAAAAAAGGAUGGAAGGAAAGAAAGAAAAGAAAAGAUGGAAGGAAGGAAGGAGGAAGGAUGGGAAGACUAUAACAUUCUAUACCAUAACUUGUUUAGCCAUUCUGCAAUUAAUGGGCAUCCCCUCGGUUUCCAAUUCUCUGAAACCACAAAAAGAGCUGCUAUAAAUAUUUUUGUAUAUAUGGGUCCUUUUCCUCUUUAUUUGAUCUCUUUGGAAUAUGGACCUUGUAGCUGGGUCAAGGGGUAUGCACAAUUUAAUAGCUUUUUGGAGAUAAUUCCAAAUUGCUUUCCAUAAUGGUUGGACCAGUUCACAUCUCUACCAAUAGAACAUUAAAGUACUUUCCCCCACAAUUCCUCCAGUAUUUUUCAUUUUCUGUUAGUGUCAACUUUGCCAGUCUGAUGGGUUUGAGGUGGUACUUCAGAAUUGCUUUUAAUGUUAUUUCUUUAAUUACUUGUGAUUUAAAGCAUUCUUCAUAUGGCUAUUGAUCA
Molecule: long non-coding RNA, 1062 nt
Filed under: Monodelphis domestica (gray short-tailed opossum)
Lineage: Eukaryota; Metazoa; Chordata; Mammalia; Didelphimorphia; Didelphidae
Description: lncRNA (ENSMODG00000050008.1)
Source: RNAcentral